AGGAUGAACGCUGGCGGCGUGCCUAACACAUGCAAGUCGAACGUCCUGUCUCGCAAGAGGCAGGGAGUGGCGGACGGGUGAGUACCACGUGGGUCAUCUACCGUGAGGUGAGGAAUACCGGCGAGAAAUCGCCGACAAGACCGCAUAGGCUCGAUGCAAGUCGAGCAAAGCUCUUUCGAGAGAGGGAGCGCCACACGAGGAGCCUGCGCCCGAUUAGCUAGCUGGUGGAGUAACGGUUCACCAGGGCGACGAUCGGUAGCUGGUCUGAGAGGACGAUCAGCCACACUGGGAUUGAGAACGGCCCAGACUCCUACGGGGGGCAGCAGUGAGGAAUUUUCGUCAAUGGGGGCAACCCUGAACGAGCAACGCCGCGUGCAGGAAGAAGGUUUUCGGAUCGUAAACUGCUUUUCUCGGGGAAGAGAACGGACGGUACCCGAGGAAUCAGCCCCGGCUAACGUACGUGCCAGCAGCCG
Molecule: ribosomal RNA, 473 nt
Filed under: uncultured bacterium
Lineage: Bacteria
Description: SSU rRNA
Rfam family: Bacterial small subunit ribosomal RNA
Source: RNAcentral